Molecule: transfer RNA, 72 nt
Filed under: Camelus bactrianus (Bactrian camel)
Lineage: Eukaryota; Metazoa; Chordata; Mammalia; Artiodactyla; Camelidae
Also listed under: 2 other names
Rfam family: tRNA
About the family: Transfer RNA (tRNA) molecules are approximately 80 nucleotides in length. Their secondary structure includes four short double-helical elements and three loops (D, anti-codon, and T loops). Further hydrogen bonds mediate the characteristic L-shaped molecular structure. tRNAs have two regions of fundamental functional importance: the anti-codon, which is responsible for specific mRNA codon recognition, and the 3' end, to which the tRNAs corresponding amino acid is attached (by aminoacyl-tRNA synthetases). tRNAs cope with the degeneracy of the genetic code in two manners: having more than one tRNA (with a specific anti-codon) for a particular amino acid; and 'wobble' base-pairing, i.e. permitting non-standard base-pairing at the 3rd anti-codon position.
Source: Rfam by way of RNAcentral
GAGGGGAUAGCUCAGUGGUAGACUGCGUGCUUAGCACGCAUGAGGUCCUGGGCUCAAUCCCCAGUACUACCA